This 369-nucleotide ribosomal RNA is filed under the name uncultured organism. Its description in RNAcentral is "bacterial SSU rRNA". It matches the Rfam family "Bacterial small subunit ribosomal RNA", at positions 346 to 707 of the family's 1533-position model. The record is from RNAcentral.
UUGCAGCAGUCGCGAAUUUUUCUCAAUGGGGGAAACCCUGAAGGAGCGACGCCGCGUGGAGGACUGAAGGCUUUCGGGUUGUAAACUCCUGUCAUUUGAGAACAAGUGGGACGCAGUAACUACGCGUCCCUUGAUAGUAUCAGAAGAGGAAGAGACGGCUAACUCUGUGCCAGCAGCCGCGGUAAUACAGAGGUCUCAAGCGUUGUUCGGAUUCAUUGGGCGUAAAGGGUGCGUAGGUGGCGCGCUAAGUCAGGUGUGAAAUCUCGGGGCUUAACUCCGAAACUGCAUUUGAUACUGGCGUGCUUGAGGACUGGAGAGGAGACUGGAAUUCAUGGUGUAGCAGUGAAAUGCGUAGAGAUCAUGAGGAAG